CUUACAUACAGUGUUAUUGCUGGGAUGAACAUACAAAUCUAGCAGCAGGUUAGUCCUGCUUCCUCUUCCUGCUCAGUUUCCAGAGGCAUAGUUUCAAGCACUUUACUAUCAGUAUU
Etheostoma cragini (Arkansas darter) is the source of this 116-nucleotide long non-coding RNA. RefSeq lists it as uncharacterized. The transcript is spliced from 2 exons. The record is from RefSeq and is a predicted model, not a curated record. Lineage: Eukaryota; Metazoa; Chordata; Actinopteri; Perciformes; Percidae.